CCCAAAGUCAGCUAGAAAUGGGAGACCCAGGCCAGGGACAGUGGCUCACGCCUGUAAUCCCAGCACUUUGGGAGGCUGAGGUGAGCGGAUCACCUGAGGUCGGGAGUUUGAGACCAGCCUGACCAACAUGGAGAAACCCCAUCUCUACUAAAAAUACAGAAUUAGCCAGGCGUGGUGGCGCAUGUCUGUAAUCCCAGCUACUUGGGAGGCCGAGGCAGGAGAAUCACUUGAACCCGGGAGGCGGAGGUUGCGGCAAGUCAAGAUCACGCCAUUGCACUCCAGCCUGGGCAUCGAGAGUGAAACUCUGUCUCAAAAAAAAAAAAAAAAGAAAGGGAGACCCAUUUCUCCUGCCCGGAUGGCCUGGCUCUAACACCCACAUUCUGAGCCACUGUAUACCCUCCACCCAUGUCCCCACUGCUGUACCAUAGAGACCAGGGCUGCACAGGGGCCAGUUUCUGCCAUCCUGACCUUUGUGCCUCACUAGGGAGCUGGAGGUUGGAGGGCCUCCCCUGAGCCUCCCCUCCUCCCACAGGGUUACUGGACCUGGAGGAGGAUGGGGACUUGACCACCGUGGAGUUUGACAAUGGAGACACGGGCAGGAUCCCCCUCUCACAUAUCUGCCUCCUGCCCCCUGACUAUAAGAUCCAAUGUGCUGAGCCAUCCCCGGCCCUCCUGGUGCCAAGUGCCAAGCGCCGCAGCCGGAAGACCAGCAAAGACACUGGGGAGGGCAAAGAUGGUGGCACGGCUGGGUCGGAGGAGCCAGGAGCCAAGGCCCGUGGGAGUGGGUGGAAACCCAGUGCCAAGGCCAGGGGUGGCCCGGUCCCCAGGGCAGGGGCGGUGGGCGGAGCUCCUUCGUGCAUCCAAACUCCGGGCUUGGGAACCUGUCGAAGUGCCUGCCUGCUGUCUGUAAGAACUCUGAGCCGAGUGCGGUGCCUCACACCUGUAAUCCCAGCGCUUUGGGAGGCCAAGGCGAGCAGAUCGCCUGAUGUCAGGAGUUCAAGACCAGUCUGGCCAACGUGGUGAAACCCCGUCUCUACUAAAAAUAUAAAAAUUAGCCGGGCAUGGUGGUGAGUGCCUGUAAUCCCAACUACGUGGGAGGCUGAGGCAGGAGAAUCGCUUGAACCUGGGAGCUGGAGGUUGCAGUGAGCCAAGAUCGUGCCAUUACACUCCAGCCUGGGCAACAAGAGCGAAACUCCAUCUCAAAAAAAAAAAAGAGAGAGAGAGAACUCUGCACCUGCACUGCAGGGCCGUUCUGACCAGGUGAUAGAUGAGGAAACUGAGGCUGAGGGAGGCAGGUUGGUUUGUCAGAGGCAGAGCUGAGCUGCAGCUGGCCUGUGUUUCUUUCCAGAAUCCAGAGAAAAAUGCUUCGUGCAGGCUGAAAAG
This 1383-nucleotide long non-coding RNA is filed under the name Pan paniscus (pygmy chimpanzee). Its description in RNAcentral is "lncRNA (ENSPPAG00000044163.1)". The record is from RNAcentral. Lineage: Eukaryota; Metazoa; Chordata; Mammalia; Primates; Hominidae.